GAUGAACGCUGGCGGCGUGCCUAAUACAUGCAAGUCGAGCGAACAGACGAGGAGCUUGCUCCUCUGACGUUAGCGGCGGACGGGUGAGUAACACGUGGAUAACCUACCUAUAAGACUGGGAUAACUUCGGGAAACCGGAGCUAAUACCGGAUAAUAUAUUGAACCGCAUGGUUCAAUAGUGAAAGACGGUUUUGCUGUCACUUAUAGAUGGAUCCGCGCCGCAUUAGUUAGUUGGUAAGGUAACGGCUUACCAAGGCGACGAUGCGUAGCCGACCUGAGAGGGUGAUCGGCCACACUGGAACUGAGACACGGUCCAGACUCCUACGGGAGGCAGAAGUAGGGAAUCUUCCGCAAUGGGCGAAAGCCUGACGGAGCAACGCCGCGUGGGUGAUGAAGGUCUUCGGAUCGUAAAACUCUUUUAUUAGGGAAGAACAAAUGUGUAAGUAACUAUGCACGUCUUGACGGUACCUAAUCAGAAAGCCACGGCUAACUACGUG
This 497-nucleotide ribosomal RNA is filed under the name uncultured bacterium. RNAcentral's name for it is "partial 16S ribosomal RNA". It matches the Rfam family "Bacterial small subunit ribosomal RNA", at positions 28 to 507 of the family's 1533-position model. The record is from RNAcentral.